CCGUGAGAGAACGGAGAAGCGGAGAAACCGACCCGUCUCCGCCUCAUCCACCGCUCCGCCACGAUGCUCGCGACCGCCGCCCCGCGCCUCCGCGCCGCCGCGUGGGGCAGCCUCUCGCCGCCGGCGCCAGUGCGGGCGCAGUUCGUGAGUCUCCCGCUCAGUCUCCCCGGCCGCUACGCCUCGCUGCGCCUGCGCGCCUCGGCGGCGGCGGCGGCGAAGGAAGGGGCGGAGGAGAUGGGGUUCGAGGAGAUGGCGGCCGGGACGCGGAGGCGCUACUACAUGCUCGGCGGGAAGGGCGGGGUCGGGAAGACGAGCUGCGCGGCGUCGCUGGCCGUGCGCUUCGCCAACAACGGGCACCCCACCCUCGUCGUCUCCACCGACCCCGCGCACUCCCUCAGCGACUCCUUCGCGCAGGAUUUGAGCGGCGGGGCGCUCGUGCCGGUCGAGGGGCCUGAGGCGCCAUUGUUUGCGCUUGAGAUAAAUCCUGAGAAAGCCCGAGAAGAGUUUCGUGCAGCAAGUCAGAAGAAUGGAGGGACUGGGGUAAAGGACUUCAUGGAUGGCAUGGGACUGGGAGUGCUUGCUGAGCAGCUGGGGGAGUUAAAACUGGGGGAGUUAUUGGACACACCACCACCAGGAUUGGAUGAAGCAAUAGCGAUUUCAAAGGUUAUGCAAUUCCUUGAAGCACAAGAGUAUAGCAUGUUUAGACGCAUUGUUUUUGACACUGCUCCAACGGGCCAUACACUCCGUUUAUUAUCCUUGCCAGAUUUCCUGGAUGCAUCUAUUGGGAAGAUCUUGAAGCUUAGGAGCAAGAUCGCUUCUGCAACAUCAGCUAUUAAAUCAGUUUUUGGACAAGAAGUUCAACAGCAGGAUGCAGCAAACAAAUUGGAGCAGCUGAGAGAAAGGAUGGUCCAAGUGCGAGAACUUUUUCGUGACACAGAAUCAACUGAAUUUAUAAUUGUGACUAUUCCAACAGUAAAGAUUCUGUGUGAUGGCAAUAAGUGAAUCAGCAAGACUACAUUCUUCCCUAAGAAAUGAAAGUGUUCCCGUUAAGAGACUCAUUGUUAACCAAAUUCUACCACCUUCGUCAUCAGACUGUAAAUUCUGUGCUAUAAAAAGAAAGGAUCAAACACGUGCUUUGGAUAUGAUAAGGAAUGAUCCAGAGCUAAUGGGGCUGAACUUAAUCCAAGCACCUCUUGUCGACAUGGAAAUAAGAGGCGUUCCUGCUCUGAAGUUUUUGGGCGAUAUAGUAUGGAAGUAACUUCACAAUGGAAAAUACGAUAAACUUCAUCACACCUACUUAUUGAAGUGCUUUGCAAUGCAAACUUUGGUAGCUGCAAGUAUCAGCAUGGAUAGAGCUAGAAUGCAAGUGUGCAACUUAGCAGAUGCCCAAUCUCAUGUGAGUAAGUAGCAUCUCGCUGAAGGUUUGCCGGAAUAGCAUAUACUAGGGGGAUUGUGUUCUAAAAAAAAAGGGGGGGGGAUUGGAUCAAGCUGCACUAAUAUCAAGUCCAUUGAGGCAACAUGCCGGUGAUAUUUCUGCUUCUUUAUCCCUUUAAUAGGAGCGAUUCUGAGGGUUUUGAGUCCAUAACUUUGCACUAAAAUUAAUUUUGUUCGUGCAUCAUGUAAAGUCGGUUAGAGAAUGAAGAAUGGAGAAAAUCAGACAACACUUUUAAGUAAAUUUUCUUACAGAUUAGUGUGACUUAAAUGUAAAUAGACAAUAUUGACAAGACAGCUGCAGCAGUUGAGAUUUUAAUUUAA
This is an RNA transcript of Oryza sativa Japonica Group (Japanese rice), 1755 nucleotides long. It is a transcript of the gene named ATPase GET3B, with no coding region annotated. The record is from RefSeq and is a predicted model, not a curated record. NCBI's taxonomy places the organism in Eukaryota, Viridiplantae, Streptophyta, Magnoliopsida, Poales, Poaceae.